This 1368-nucleotide ribosomal RNA is filed under the name Streptomyces sp. 9SM3. Its description in RNAcentral is "bacterial SSU rRNA". It matches the Rfam family "Bacterial small subunit ribosomal RNA". The record is from RNAcentral. Lineage: Bacteria; Bacillati; Actinomycetota; Actinomycetes; Kitasatosporales; Streptomycetaceae.
CGAUGAACCGCUUUCGGGCGGGGAUUAGUGGCGAACGGGUGAGUAACACGUGGGCAAUCUGCCCUGCACUCUGGGACAAGCCCUGGAAACGGGGUCUAAUACCGGAUAUGACCGUCUGCCGCAUGGUGGAUGGUGUAAAGCUCCGGCGGUGCAGGAUGAGCCCGCGGCCUAUCAGCUUGUUGGUGAGGUAGUGGCUCACCAAGGCGACGACGGGUAGCCGGCCUGAGAGGGCGACCGGCCACACUGGGACUGAGACACGGCCCAGACUCCUACGGGAGGCAGCAGUGGGGAAUAUUGCACAAUGGGCGAAAGCCUGAUGCAGCGACGCCGCGUGAGGGAUGACGGCCUUCGGGUUGUAAACCUCUUUCAGCAGGGAAGAAGCGAAAGUGACGGUACCUGCAGAAGAAGCGCCGGCUAACUACGUGCCAGCAGCCGCGGUAAUACGUAGGGCGCAAGCGUUGUCCGGAAUUAUUGGGCGUAAAGAGCUCGUAGGCGGCUUGUCACGUCGGUUGUGAAAGCCCGGGGCUUAACCCCGGGUCUGCAGUCGAUACGGGCAGGCUAGAGUUCGGUAGGGGAGAUCGGAAUUCCUGGUGUAGCGGUGAAAUGCGCAGAUAUCAGGAGGAACACCGGUGGCGAAGGCGGAUCUCUGGCCGAUACUGACGCUGAGGAGCGAAAGCGUGGGAGCGAACAGGAUUAGAUACCUGGUAGUCCACGCCGUAAACGGUGGGCACUAGGUGUGGGCAACAUUCCACGUUGUCCGUGCCGCAGCUAACGCAUUAAGUGCCCCGCCUGGGGAGUACGGCCGCAAGGCUAAAACUCAAAGGAAUGACGGGGGCCCGCACAAGCGGCGGAGCAUGUGGCUUAAUUCGACGCAACGCGAAGAACCUUACCAAGGCUUGACAUACACCGGAAACGUCUGGAGACAGGCGCCCCCUUGUGGUCGGUGUACAGGUGGUGCAUGGCUGUCGUCAGCUCGUGUCGUGAGAUGUUGGGUUAAGUCCCGCAACGAGCGCAACCCUUGUCCCGUGUUGCCAGCAGGCCCUUGUGGUGCUGGGGACUCACGGGAGACCGCCGGGGUCAACUCGGAGGAAGGUGGGGACGACGUCAAGUCAUCAUGCCCCUUAUGUCUUGGGCUGCACACGUGCUACAAUGGCCGGUACAAUGAGCUGCGAUACCGUGAGGUGGAGCGAAUCUCAAAAAGCCGGUCUCAGUUCGGAUUGGGGUCUGCAACUCGACCCCAUGAAGUCGGAGUCGCUAGUAAUCGCAGAUCAGCAUUGCUGCGGUGAAUACGUUCCCGGGCCUUGUACACACCGCCCGUCACGUCACGAAAGUCGGUAACACGCCGAAGCCGGUGGCCCAACCCCUGUG